RNAcentral lists this ribosomal RNA (565 nucleotides) under uncultured archaeon. Its description in RNAcentral is "bacterial SSU rRNA". It matches the Rfam family "Archaeal small subunit ribosomal RNA", at positions 258 to 824 of the family's 1478-position model. The record is from RNAcentral.
CUACGACGGGUACGGGUUGUGAGAGCAAGAGCCCGGAGAUGGAUUCUGAGACACGAAUCCAGGCCCUACGGGGUGCAGCAGGCGCGAAAACUUUACAAUGCUGGCAACAGCGAUAAGGGAACCUCGAGUGCCAGGUUACAAAUCUGGCUGUCGAGAUGCCUAAAAAGCAUUUCAUAGCAAGGGCCGGGCAAGACCGGUGCCAGCCGCCGCGGUAACACCGGCGGCUCGAGUGGUAACCGUUAUUAUUGGGUCUAAAGGGUCUGUAGCCGGCCGGAUAAGUCUCUUGAGAAAUCCAGCAGCUCAACUGUUGGGCUUUCAGGAGAUACUGUUCGGCUCGAGGCCGGGAGAGGUGAGAGGUACUUCAGGGGUAGGGGUGAAAUCUUGUAAUCCUUGAAGGACCACCAGUGGCGAAGGCGUCUCACCAGAACGGACCUGACGGCAAGGGACGAAAGCUAGGGGCACGAACCGGAUUAGAUACCCGGGUAGUCCUAGCCGUAAACGAUACUCGCUAGGUGUCGGCCACGGUGCGACCGUUGUCGGUGCCGUAGGGAAGCCGGAAGCGAGC